AUGAAGGGCGGCGGCGACGUCGAGGCGGGCGGCGACAUCGAGGCGGGCACCGCGGCACCGAAGGGGGCGCCGUACGCCGGGACGACGGAGAGCCCCGAGCUGCGCUGGGCGCUCAUCCGGAAGAUCUACGUCGUCCUCUGCCUGCAGCUUCUCCUCACCGCCGCCGUCGCGGCCGUCUUCGUCACAGUCACGGCCAUCCCGCACUUUUUCGUCUCCUCCUACGCCGGACUGGGGCUGUACAUCUUCAUUCUCGUCUUCCCCUUCAUCGUGCUGUGCCCGCUGCACAUCUACCGCCAGAAGCACCCAAUCAACUUGCUGCUUCUUGGCGUCUUCACAGUGGCCAUCAGCUUCUCUGUGGGCUUGACAUGCGCCUUUACCAGCGGCAAGGUCAUUUUGCAGGCGGGGAUUCUUACAAUUGUGGUUGUCUUGAGCCUCACUGCUUACACCUUCUGGGCUGCAAGGAGGGGCAAGGACUUCAGCUUCCUUGGUCCUUUCCUAUUUGCUUCUCUGAUGAUUUUGCUCGUCUUUGCUUUCAUUCAGAUCUUCUUCCCGCUGGGCAAGCUCUCUCACAUGAUCUAUGGCGCGCUGGCGGCACUCAUCUUCAGUGGCUACAUUGUCUAUGACACGGGCAGCAUCAUCAAGCGUUACAAGUAUGACGAGUAUGUCUGGGCUGCCGUCACGCUCUACCUUGACAUCAUCAAUCUGUUCCUGGGCCUGCUGACUCUGUUUAGGGCGUGUGACAACUAG
Molecule: ribosomal RNA, 747 nt
Filed under: Triticum aestivum (bread wheat)
Lineage: Eukaryota; Viridiplantae; Streptophyta; Magnoliopsida; Poales; Poaceae
Description: partial small subunit ribosomal RNA
Source: RNAcentral